GAUCCUGGCUUAGGACGAACGCUGGCGGCGUGCCUAAUACAUGCAAGUCGAACGGUCUUUUCUAUGGAAGCUUGCUUCCACUGAGAAGAUAGUGGCGAACGGGUGAGUAACACGUGGGUAACCUGCCCAUAAGAGGGGGGAUAACAUCCGGAAACGGGUGCUAAUACCGCAUAGUUUUCUUGAUCGCAUGAUCGGGAAAGGAAAGACGGCCUUUGUGCUGUCGCUUAUGGAUGGACCCGCGGCGUAUUAGUUAGUUGGUGAGGUAACGGCUCACCAAGACGAUGAUACGUAGCCGACCUGAGAGGGUGAUCGGCCACAUUGGGACUGAGACACGGCCCAAACUCCUACGGGAGGCAGCAGUAGGGAAUCUUCCGCAAUGGACGAAAGUCUGACGGAGCAACGCCGCGUGAGUGAAAGAAGGUUUUCGGAUCGUAAAACUCUGUUGUCAGAGAAGAACAAGUUGGAGAGUAACUGCUCCAGCCUUGACGGUAUCUGACCAGAAAGCCACGGCUAACUACGUGCCAGCCGCCGC
This 532-nucleotide ribosomal RNA is filed under the name uncultured bacterium. RNAcentral describes it as "bacterial SSU rRNA". It matches the Rfam family "Bacterial small subunit ribosomal RNA", at positions 15 to 518 of the family's 1533-position model. The record is from RNAcentral.